RNAcentral lists this long non-coding RNA (223 nucleotides) under Zostera marina. RNAcentral describes it as "long non-coding RNA (ZMAR_LNC005237)". Lineage: Eukaryota; Viridiplantae; Streptophyta; Magnoliopsida; Alismatales; Zosteraceae. The record is from RNAcentral.
UGGGUCUUUGCAAUUGCUUGGUAGAUUUUUUUCUAUCCUUUGGUUUUUGUUUUAGACCAUAGACCAAGGCAAGUAUAUCUUGUACGCAUUGUGUAUAUUGUCUCUUUCAUUCCGUGUUGGAUUGCAAUAAAAACUUAUUUUUUUAUUCAAUUAUAAGAAACGGAAUUCAUCAUAGGAAGAAAAAAAUAUUUUUCUUUUCAAUAUAAAUUUGUACACAGAUGAG